RNAcentral lists this long non-coding RNA (1360 nucleotides) under Carassius auratus (goldfish). RNAcentral describes it as "lncRNA (ENSCARG00000063947.1)". Lineage: Eukaryota; Metazoa; Chordata; Actinopteri; Cypriniformes; Cyprinidae. The record is from RNAcentral.
CUCUGCAGAGAAGUCUGGAUUAUCAGGGGAGCAAGAGGAAACCCAGAAAACUGGGCGAAGAAAGCCUCGAUUGUCUCAAGGACAAAUCUGCACAGUGCUUCAAACCAAAUCCGACUGAAUCUAAAGUGAGAGUAAAAAUCCAUAAACUAGAUGUUCUGGCCCCUGUGUAUAAUCCUAAACCUCUGAUCACGCUCGAGGAAGCCAGACGUGACCCCCACAGUUACCCCGGGCCGGCGGGAACAGAGCGGGUCAGAGCUGCGAUGCCACACACAGCGGAGAGCGGGUGUUUAAGGGGCGACCUCUCCCUCAGCUCCUGACCCGAGGCCCGUCAGCACACCACUCCAGCCUGAGCACAGGCAACAGGAUCAGGUUUCAGGGGAAAAUGUUGGAAAUUAGCAAGAGCAGAGUCAGGCUCAGAACACAAUGGCAGCUCUCUGUCAGGGGGAGACUUCAAAGAGCCGCUGAGUGACUGCUCUGAGUUGGACUUUGUUGUAGAUCACUGAGGAAAUUCACAGAUGUUUUCUCAUACGAGACACCAUUACUGAGGCUCUCGCACCCGGUAGCCCCGAGCAUUUCUCUGCCUUUCCAUCUCUCCUGCUCUUGUGUGCGAGACAGAUGUGGAACCCCUUUUUUCUUUUUUGCAGACUUUUCGCUUUAUUUUCUUCUGCUGUCUGUCCAGAGAGCAUGAAAAGUUAGGCUCUGACCUGUCCGAAAGAAGCCUUAAAAAAAAUCAAGAAACUCACUGUUGAUGCUUUCAUCAAAAACGCACAGACGAUGCUGUGAUCCUGUCAGAAGACAUCCAUUUAAAGUUGUGCAUCACCACCAAACUCCACCAAACUUGGAGAUUAUAGACUGAUAUUUUACAUUAUUUGCAUGUGAUUUGAUUCAGCUCAUGUAUUAACCCUAUAAAUCUUAAUGUUUCUUGGCAUCUAAAUUAUCAACAUGAUGCUGAAAAACAGGCUUUUGAGGAAUAUUAUUUGUUCAUCUCUCAAAAAAACAUUGUAUUGCAUUGCAUAACAUCUACUUCUGCUUUAUUUGUAAAGAUCAUUGAUUAACAUUACAAGCUAUCAGAAUGACAUUUACACCAUUAAAUUUGUGUUUUAUGUAACCACUGAAAACUAAUCCCCCUCUUUUUUCUUUAAUUGAAGAUUGCUUUCUCCAGACUUUUGCUACAAAAUAUGCUGUAUAUAUAUAAAAUAAUGAGAGGUAAAUAUGUAUGUAGCAAUAUUUUCUCAGUAUUUGGAUUUCCGUUUUUAUUACGAAAGACAAAUGUGUUAUAUAUCAGUUUUCUUGUAAAAUAAAAUGGAAAAAUGCAAACUGUUGUUAAUUAUAUAAGGACUCCCCAUGGUAGCCUGUUGAA